Callithrix jacchus (white-tufted-ear marmoset) is the source of this 467-nucleotide long non-coding RNA. RefSeq lists it as uncharacterized. Lineage: Eukaryota; Metazoa; Chordata; Mammalia; Primates; Cebidae. The record is from RefSeq and is a predicted model, not a curated record.
CUUCAUCUCCACCCUCCUCUAUGAAAAAGGUGAGCCUCCUGUGGGUGAAGGGUCCCUGUGGCCCCUACAGAGGAAUGGCAUGGUAGUUUCCUCAUUCAUAAGGUGUGGCCCCCUAGGAUUCUCGGAGGACCCUGUGGGGAUCAGAGCGACUUCAUUUUCAACGCGAAUCCAGCAUGUGACUCCUGACUGGCCGGAGUCCGGGAAUGCCUCCAAGACGGCGGGUUGAUGUGUUACCCUUAGGCAGAACCUCCUACUCACCAGCCUUUCCUCCAAAACUGCCCUUGGUAUUGCACGCCUGACAGGCUGUGACGCCCGCAGACACCUACGCAUUCCUUCCAGAGCACGUACGCUCUUCCCCGAUGCACGGGUCUGGGCGGUUGUGGUGCAGAGAUGUAGUGUCUUGUGGCUACCCGAGAGCACAUUUCUGUUCAUCAAGAUCCCCUAAUAAAUCAUCUCUUACUGACAAA